UCAUCUUCGGGGGUAGAGCACUGUUUCGGCUAGGGGGUCAUCCCGACUUACCAACCCGAUGCAAACUGCGAAUACCGAAGAAUGUUAUCACGGGAGACACACGGCGGGUGCUAACGUCCGUCGUGAAGAGGGAAACAACCCAGACCGCCAGCUAAGGUCCCAAAGUCACAGUUAAGUGGGAAACGAUGUGGGAAGGCACAGACAGCCAGGAUGUUGGCUUAGAAGCAGCCAUCAUUUAAAGAAAGCGUAAUAGCUCACUGGUCGAGUCGGCCUGCGCGGAAGAUGUAACGGGGCUAAACUGUGCACCGAAGCUGCGGCAGCGACACUAUGUGUUGUUGGGUAGGGGAGCGUUCUGUAAGCCGUUGAAGGUGUGUCGUGAGGCAUGCUGGAGGUAUCAGAAGUGCGAAUGCUGACAUAAGUAACGAUAAUGCGGGUGAAAAACCCGCACGCCGGAAGACCAAGGGUUCCUGUCCAACGUUAAUCGGGGCAGGGUGAGUCGACCCCUAAGGCGAGGCCGAAAGGCGUAGUCGAUGGGAAACAGGUUAAUAUUCCUGUACUUGGUGUUACUGCGAAGGGGGGACGGAGAAGGCUAUGUUAGCCGGGCGACGGUUGUCCCGGUUUAAGCAUGUAGGCGG
Molecule: ribosomal RNA, 635 nt
Filed under: Citrobacter youngae
Lineage: Bacteria; Pseudomonadati; Pseudomonadota; Gammaproteobacteria; Enterobacterales; Enterobacteriaceae
Description: partial 23S ribosomal RNA
Rfam family: Bacterial large subunit ribosomal RNA
Source: RNAcentral